RNAcentral lists this small nuclear RNA (147 nucleotides) under Catagonus wagneri (Chacoan peccary). Its description in RNAcentral is "U1 spliceosomal RNA (ENSCWAG00000014272.1)". It matches the Rfam family "U1 spliceosomal RNA". Rfam says of the family: U1 is a small nuclear RNA (snRNA) component of the spliceosome (involved in pre-mRNA splicing). The record is from RNAcentral. Lineage: Eukaryota; Metazoa; Chordata; Mammalia; Artiodactyla; Tayassuidae.
AUACUUACCUCAUAGAGGAGACACCAUGAUCAUGAAGGGUGUUUUCCUGUGGUGAAGCUUAUCCAUCUCACUCCUGAGAUUUCCCCAAAUGUGGGAAACUUGACUACAUAAUAUUUGGUAGUGGGUGACUAUAGUUCUACUUUCCUG